AAACACAAAAUAUUUUUGAAAAAUCAUCCAACAUACUGAGAAGAAAUCUUGAUACUCCUGUGUGCAAAUUCUCCGAAGAAUGUUGUAAAUUUCUCUAUUUUGUGAGUUUUUUUUUUGUGUGUUCUACUUUCUAUCAUCCUGUUUUUAAUGGCUGAGAAAAAAUAUAAUUAUAUUCGUCUAACUGUAUGUUUCAAUUCUCGAAUCUUGUACAUUUUUCAAUUGGGGUUUGUUCUAUUUUAGGGUUCAAGUUGAAAACAGAUCGUAAAUCCGAUUUUUGGCUCUUCAUAUGGAGGUAUUGUAGGGGUUUUAACUGUUAGAUUAAAUUGAAUUGUAGCGACCUGAUCUUGACACAAACCCUAGGUACUUAUGGAAUAUCAUAACCAUAACCCAACAACUCUAUCAUAUUUUCCCCUUUAAAAACAAGAAUGUAAAAAAAAAAAAGGCAUCUUUCUACUGCAAAUUAAGCAAAAAUUGAAUGACAGGUAAUGUUCUGGAAAUCAUUUUGUUUAGUAGGAGUAGCAUAAACUUGUCCUCCCCAAUUCCCAUUUCUGGGAUUACAUUGGGUUGUUGUGGAGUUAUAUUUGGUUAUAGUUUUCGCAAAUAAUAUUUGGUUAUAUAUUUUGUUCCCACUAUAAUGAGAGGACAAGGAAAAGAAGGAGAUAAAAGAGAAGUAAUAGAAACCUUUAAAGGCCAUCUAGAGACUUUUGUCGUUUUAGUUGAUAUUUUUGUUAUGUAUGUGUGUAGACGUCUAAGAGUUGUUCCAAGUUGUAUCAAAUUGCAGCUGUUAUAUGUAUGUACUAACUAUUAAAGUGAUUAAGUUAGAUAGCUUGUUAAUUAGCAUUUGUUAGGUUGUGGCAUGCUUGCUUUGACUUAGCUUUCCUUGAUAGCUUGUAAUACCUUUUUGUAAGUUAUAUACAGUCAUUUCACUUCAAUAUAUAUUUCACACUCUUUGCAUUUUGAUGUUAUAUAGUUCCAGUGAGGUUACUGAAGUUUGAGAUGACCGCUAUUUUAACUACAUCUUCUGGUCCAAUCUAUGCACCAGAAGACCCUACUCUCCCCAAACCUUGGAAAGGCCUAGUUGAUGGCAUAACAUGAUAUAUCUACUUCUGGAAUCCAGAUACCAAUGAUACCUAAUAUGAGAGGCCUGUUCACUCAUCUAAUGGAGUGUCUGCUCCUGCGCAAAAGUCAGCUGUAUUUUGUUGGUUCAUUUGUUCAAAAACCCUGUCAAGGUCAACAUUAUGAUCAGACGGUAGGCAUAGUAGAGGUAGCAACAACAAGGUUACAUUCCUGAAGGGAGAUCAGGUUUCAGGUGAAGCUUGACAAGAAAAAAAACUAAAACCUCAUAGAGUUACACGAAGUGCAAAUAGAAGAAGAUCUACUCUUGUUUGAUUUUUUGAAUACUUGUAUAUUAUUCUUUUUAAUAGAAGGACAAGAAGAAACAUUGAUAGAAAUGUACCUUUUGUUUGAUAUUUUUAUACUUGUAUUUUUAUUUUUUUUAAUAGGAGAAAAAAGAAUACAUUA
Molecule: long non-coding RNA, 1521 nt
Organism: Solanum pennellii
Lineage: Eukaryota; Viridiplantae; Streptophyta; Magnoliopsida; Solanales; Solanaceae
Exons: 2
Source: RefSeq, a predicted model, not a curated record